AUGAACGCUGGCGGCGUGCCUAAUACAUGCAAGUCGAGCGAACAGACGAGGAGCUUGCUCCUCUGACGUUAGCGGCGGACGGGUGAGUAACACGUGGAUAACCUACCUAUAAGACUGGGAUAACUUCGGGAAACCGGAGCUAAUACCGGAUAAUAUAUUGAACCGCAUGGUUCAAUAGUGAAAGACGGUUUUGCUGUCACUUAUAGAUGGAUCCGCGCCGCAUUAGCUAGUUGGUAAGGUAACGGCUUACCAAGGCGACGAUGCGUAGCCGACCUGAGAGGGUGAUCGGCCACACUGGAACUGAGACACGGUCCAGACUCCUACGGGAGGCAGCAGUAGGGAAUCUUCCACAAUGGGCGAAAGCCUGACGGAGCAACGCCGCGUGAGUGAUGAAGGUCUUCGGAUCGUAAAACUCUGUUAUUAGGGAAGAACAAAUGUGUAAGUAACUAUGCACGUCUUGACGGUACCUAAUCAGAAAGCCACGGCUAACUACGUG
This 496-nucleotide ribosomal RNA is filed under the name uncultured bacterium. RNAcentral's name for it is "partial 16S ribosomal RNA". It matches the Rfam family "Bacterial small subunit ribosomal RNA", at positions 29 to 507 of the family's 1533-position model. The record is from RNAcentral.